Molecule: ribosomal RNA, 500 nt
Filed under: uncultured bacterium
Lineage: Bacteria
Description: partial 16S ribosomal RNA
Rfam family: Bacterial small subunit ribosomal RNA
Source: RNAcentral
AUUGAACGCUGGCGGAAUGCUUUACACAUGCAAGUCGAACGGCAGCACGGACUUCGGUCUGGUGGCGAGUGGCGAACGGGUGAGUAAUGUAUCGGAACGUGCCCAGUCGUGGGGGAUAACGUAGUGAAAAUUACGCUAAUACCGCAUACGAUCUAUGGAUGAAAGCGGGGGAUCGCAAGACCUCGCGCGAUUGGAGCGGCCGAUAUCAGAUUAGGUAGUUGGUGGGGUAAAGGCCCACCAAGCCAACGAUCUGUAGCUGGUCUGAGAGGACGACCAGCCGGACGGGAACUGAGACACGGGCCAGACUCCUACGGGAGGCAGCAGUGGGGAAUUUUGGACAAUGGGCGAAAGCCUGAUCCAGCCAUUCCGCGUGCAGGAUGAAGGCCCUCGGGUUGUAAACUGCUUUUGUACAGAACGAAAAGGUUUCUACUAAUACUAGGAGCUCAUGACGGUACUGUAAGAAUAAGCACCGGCUAACUACGUGCCAGCCGCCGCCGUAA